This 253-nucleotide ribosomal RNA is filed under the name uncultured bacterium. Its description in RNAcentral is "partial 16S ribosomal RNA". It matches the Rfam family "Bacterial small subunit ribosomal RNA", at positions 524 to 776 of the family's 1533-position model. The record is from RNAcentral.
UACGAAGGGGACUAGCGUUGUUCGGAAUCACUGGGCGUAAAGCGCGCGUAGGCGGACCUGCAAGUCGGGGGUGAAAGCCCGAGGCUCAACCUCGGAACUGCCUUCGAUACUGCGGGUCUCGAGUCCGGGAGAGGUGAGUGGAAUUCCUAGUGUAGAGGUGAAAUUCGUAGAUAUUAGGAAGAACACCAGUGGCGAAGGCGGCUCACUGGCCCGGUACUGACGCUGAGGCGCGAAAGCGUGGGGAGCAAACAGG